Molecule: ribosomal RNA, 259 nt
Filed under: uncultured Leptotrichia sp.
Lineage: Bacteria; Fusobacteriati; Fusobacteriota; Fusobacteriia; Fusobacteriales; Leptotrichiaceae
Description: partial 16S ribosomal RNA
Rfam family: Bacterial small subunit ribosomal RNA
Source: RNAcentral
UGGCGGACGGGUGAGUAACGCGUAAAGAACUUGCCCUUUAGACUGGGAUAACAGAGGGAAACUUCUGAUAAUACUGGAUAAGUUAGUAUAUCGCAUGAUAUACAAAUGAAAGCUACGGCACUAAAGGAGAGCUUUGCGUCCUAUUAGCUAGUUGGUAAGGUAAGAGCUUACCAAGGCGAUGAUAGGUAGCCGGCCUGAGAGGGUGGACGGCCACAAGGGGACUGAGAUACGGCCCUUACUCCUACGGGAGGCAGCAGGC